RNAcentral lists this transfer RNA (63 nucleotides) under Hestiasula sp. JZ-2017. Its description in RNAcentral is "tRNA-Thr". It matches the Rfam family "tRNA". Rfam says of the family: Transfer RNA (tRNA) molecules are approximately 80 nucleotides in length. Lineage: Eukaryota; Metazoa; Arthropoda; Insecta; Mantodea; Hymenopodidae. The record is from RNAcentral.
GUUUUAAUAGUUUAAAUAAAACAUUGGUCUUGUAAACCAAAAUUAAGUUCUACUUUUAAAAUU